GAAAACCUGAGUUCUAUCCCCAGGACACCCCGUGAUGGAAUGAGAGAACGAAUUCCAAGUGUCUGACUUCCACACCUGUGCCAAGGCACACAUAUCCUCUUGUUUGCUUUUGCGCUCUCUCUCUCUCUCUCUCUCUCUCUCUCUCUCUCUCUCUCUCUCUCUCUCUCUCUCUGUGUGUGUGUCUCCUGACCCUCCUGUCCACAUUCCAGAUGCAGGAGGCUGUGCCUUCGCGCAGAUGUGCCAUUGCGCAUGUGCAGUGUGCAGCUGGCUCUGCCUGUGCAUGGAUCGGAGAGGAUGGCGUCUGCACGGCCAUCAUAUUUUAUCUGUGGCUGAGGAGGAAGAGGCACAUCUUCCCUUACACACUUCUGCUCACACGCAUGUGCACACCAGACAUCCUCCUCGGUAGCACGGAUGGAGCAGCGUGCAUCUAUUCCGUGGGUUGGGUGGGUGUGAUUCAGAGGAACGCCCACUGUGACCGCCAUCUAAAUGGGGACUCUGCUAGUCAGCCACCAGACUGCAAGUGCCGGCCAUGGUAUUCCAGGCCACUGAUGGGCACUUAAGGGUGCUGUGUCCAUACUAGGGAGCUAGAGAGGCUGGACUUGAGGGGUACAGUCUCUGCCCCUUCAGGACACAUAAUCAAAGAAAAGAAAGCACCCUGAAAAAUCUCUGGGGAAGUCUGUAGAGUGAGGGUAAAGGCAGCAAGGGUUGGAGCUUGGGGAAAGAGACUGAGGCAGAGGGGCUGAUUAGGAGGAAGAGAGGUGGUGACUGGAGAGAUGGAUCAGUGGAUAGAGCACCUGUUGCUCCUGCAGAGGACCUGGGUUCAAUUCCCAACACCUACAUGGUAACUUACAACCAUUAGUAACUCUAGUUCCAGGGGGUCCAAUGCCCUCUUCCGACCCCCACAGGCACCAGGCAUACGCAUGGUGCACAGACACACGCAGGCAAAAGACUCAUACACAUUAAUAAAUGAAAAUAAAUAAAUAAGCAAAAUUUUAAAAAGGUAACAGGAGAGGUGUCCUUGCAGGCCCUUUUGGUAAGAGUGGUGGGCUCCUGCCCAAGUUUAGUUUAUGCAGGGGAAAAGCUAGGUGUGGUGGCCCCAGAACUCAGGAGGCCGAGGAAGGGGGAUUGCUUAGUUCAAAUCCAGCCUGGGCUGCAUCGUUAAGACCUUGUCUUUAAAUCAAAUCAAAACCAAGGGCUAAAAUCAAAGAGAACUUUGGUUAGACCUCUAAGCUCAGAGAAAAUCUGAAACAGAAAAGAGUCAAGGCCCAGGGAGGGAGGACGAAGCCUGGGGUGAUGAGAAGCAACUGGUCACCUCCGAGCCUAUCAGGCACCAGGCUGAAGACUCGGCCUCACACAGGCUCUGUCUUAGGGGUCUGGAACCCAGGGGAUGACAGCUGGGUAAGCAUUACCCAGUGCACGAAGGUAAGGAUCAGACGCAGACAGUGGGAAAGAAUGUUCCGGGAGGUAGCGUCUGGGUGGGGUUUUGAAGGAUGUAGAGGAGUUGCGGACCCUGACCAGGGAGUGGGGAACUGGUUUCCAUACAACACGGGCAGGUUGUGUCGGCUCCUUGGCUCCUGUUUUUUUGGUUUUUUGUUUGUUUGUUUGUUUUUGUUUUCAUUUUUGCCAAGAUCAAAAUCAACACUCAAUCUGUGUUCCGAGACUGGGCAGCAUGGGAUCAUCAGUAGGCCUCCUUUUGCCUCCCCUGUGCUGAGUUGGGAGCUUGAAUUCCGUUUCCCAGAUCCCUCCUGGCUCCAGAGCCUCAAUCUAACCCUCUUUAUGUUCUAUCAGCAAAUGACCCAGGGCCCCUCAGCCCUCAGCAAGUGCCACCUCCUCCUGUGUGGCUUAGACCAAGGCAUGAAGUUCAACGCAAACUCACAACAGUGGCCUCCUGCCUUGGGCUGGCCUGCAAAUCCCUGGGGAAAGUUUGGGUCCUUAACACACAAGGAUGUCCUGGGUCCAGGACUCAGUGAGCUUGACAGGAAUAAGACAGCCUCUAGGGAGCCAGGCAAAGGCCCUGAGGCAACCAGGUGGUAGAGAGCAGAGAGGUAGAUGUGGAUUUUUACAGUGUUAAAAACUCCCUUCAUGUGAUUGGGGAUUUAGCUCAGUGGUAGAGCGCUUGCCUAGCAAGCGCAAGGCCCUGCGUUCAGUCCUCAGCUCUCGAAAAAAAACAAAAAAACAACAAAAAAAAUCCAAAAAACUCCCUUCAGCCUGUGUCAAACUUCCGAGAAGGUUUAGAAGGGCCGGGUGAGAGAGCGGAUGUGAGCUUCCUGCCUCUCCAGAGUUGUAGGGUGUAGUUUCUAAGUCAGUGUGGUACCCAGCCCUCCUUCUGCCCUGCUUUUGGCUCACUCCAGGGGGGCACACAGAUGGCAGCUAGGGUGGGCUCUCUCUGGUCUGUCUGAGACCCUGACCUACUUUCUAGCUUGAACUUGGUAACAGUGUGCUGGGAGUCAGGUGUUCUUCAUCCCACGGUCAGGGUUGGGUGACACCACUGGAGGAGAGAAGGUAAUACCACAUAGGGGAAGGGCUAGGGGCAGGGUGGGCUGAGCUGCCCAGGGAUAAGGGGAAGGCCUCCCCGCACUCUUAGCUCAUUUGUGGGACAAAUCAGUCACCAGUCACCAGUCAAGGGGUGGGGCCCGCAGGCAUGUGAAGUGAGAUCCUUGAAGGCAGUCAGAGGUAGGGAGAGUCAUAAGAGACUCCCCAGGAAAGGACACCAGGCCACCCAGGCCUGAACCUACCAGUGAUGAUGUAUCUGUGGGCCUUAGGUCAUCUGGCAUUGCCCCUCCCUCACAUCCUGGGAAAAGCCCUGGUCUAAAGGGCAUGGCCUCCAGUCAGCAUGAUCUUUCUCAGGCUCAUUAUCAGGGACAAUACUUGGAUUUUUUUUUUUUUAGUAUAGUACUUUAUUGUCAGGUAGAUUUUAUUUUUGUUUAAAAUUUUAAAGCAUUUUUUAUUAUUUAUUUAUAUAUUUGGAGGGGCAUCCAGAGAGACCAGAGAGAGUACGUGACCCUCUGGAACUGUAGUCGCAGGCAGUUGUGCACUGCCCCACGUGGGUGCUGAAAACUGAACUCAGGGCCUCUGGAAGGGCAGAAAGCUGAGCCUUCUCUCCUGACCUUUUGUUCCCCAUCUCUUACCCAAGACGGGGUUUCUCCAUGUAGCCUUGGCUGUCUCAGAACUCAUUCUGUAGACCAGACUGACCUCGAACUCAGAGAUCCACCUGCCUCUGCCUUCUGAGCAUUGGAUUAAAGGCGUGCGCCACCACUGCCUGGCCCUUUGAUUUUUAAGCAGUAUCUGGUAGAAGAGUCCACUAGUAGAAGAAUCCCUGUGUGCCACAACACAAAGUCUGCAAAGGGUGACGUUUGACCUCAUUUGACCGAUUGCCUUAUCACCCCACACACAGUUUUCUGUGUGCAUGCUCACACACUACACGUCAUAUACUCUUUCUUAACUGCUUGUUGAAGGGCGGGGGCCGAAAUAAGUCUUUAUCUCCGAGGACUUAGCGUGUUCCUUUAAGAGAGGAUGUUCUUUUACCUAAUUACAACGGGAUUAUCAAACAUCAGGAAACCAGCAUUGUGUCUUUAUAAUCUCCAUGUCUCGGUUUUAUUAACCAUCGUUUAUUUUAUUAGUGUCCUUUACAACACAGCUGCUUGGACGGACCUUGUAGGACGGCUGCAAGGGUUAAGUAAGAUGUCCUUGACAGCAGAGCCUGUCCGGAACAGAGUUGACACUAUUGCUCCUUGCUGCCCUUCCUGUCACCCUUAUCCUUCCCCAAGGUCCCUACCAUGCCUGUGGGCACUCCUAAGGUCCAGAGAGGACUGUGGCUAUGUCCAUGUCCCCUAUAGGACAUCACACUCCUGAGAGUGAGGAGUGAGUUUCAUCCCCUUCUGGGUUCCCCCAGCUCAGCAUGAUGACUUUGAUAAGUUCCCAGCUUUAAGCUCUGUUAAGUCAAGCUCCUGGUCCCAGGCCCUCCAUAGGUAUCCCGGCUGGUGGCUGCUCCUUCCUUGUGUGGGAUGUGGAUAGCUUCUAGAGUUGAUUCUAGCCCCAAAAUAUCCAUGUUCCAAGCCUGUGUCACCAUCCUGCCCCCAAACAAGCCCCCGCCACUUCCUUGUGCAUCAAUGGCCCCACUGUUCUGGAAUGAUCCAGGCAUGAAGUUUCAGAGUCACUCUUGACUCAGCCAACUCCUCCAGUCACACAUUUUUCCCCGAAGCCAUUGUUCAUAUCCACCAACCCCUUCCCAGGGCCCUGGAUCCCUUGUGCUUGGACUCUGGUCUGAAGUCUGGAUGCUUCUGUCUACUUUCUAAAUGGCCAGCCCUAGCAGAGCUCCAGGGGGUCUGUGCUGGGCCCUCCAAGAAACAGCAGUUCCCUGGUAGGAAGUGAUUUAAUACCCAGGAGCACAGCCCCCCCCCCCCCCACCUCUUAUCAAAGAGCCCUGCUGUACCUUGGAGGCUGGGGCUCCGGAGAGGUUGGGGACGCUGCCUACUGUGAUAAAACCUGGAUGGGGGAGAGGAAGGGAAAGGGGGGAGGAGAGGAGGUGGGGAGGGAAGGGGGAGGAGGAAGCCCUAAGGACUGUGUGUAGGACAGCACAUUGAGCUUUGACCUUUCAAGAAUGUCCUUGUCUCCCAAGCUUGAUCCUGCCCACCAUCAUCCAUUGCCACUGCUCUUGCCCUCUGUUCAACUCCCUUGGGCCCUGCCCUUGGUCAGACACAGGGCAAGGACCCAGUUAGGUGAUGUCCCACUGACUCUAUCCACACUGCACACACACACAAGGGACAGCAGGUGCCACUCUGGAAUCUGGACCUUGGUAGAGGACAGCGGAACUGGGCCUAGAAGGAUGAGCAAGAUUCCAUCUUGAGCCAGAGUUGGGCAGCAGAAGGGCAGUGGGUUAGCAGGGCCUUGGAAAUGUUUCUGGGUGGUUAAGCUAGGAGGCGUGAGGUGGCCAAACUGGGGCACAGUGAAGCAAGGCUGAGAAGGGCUUGUGGACUAAGGGGCUUCUGAUUAGAAACAUGGGGUCUUAGGGACCCUUCCUGCAGCCCAUAACUCCUGUCUCCUUUUUUUUUUUUUUUUUUUUUUUUUGGUUCUUUUUUUCCGGAGCUGGGGACCGAACCCAGGGCCCUGCGCUUCCUAGGUAAGCGCUCUACCACUGAGCUAAAUCCCCAGCCCCAACUCCUGUCUUCUAAAUGGGACCUGUGAAAGCAGCAGGGGGCCAGCUCAGCACUUGCUACUCUGUACAGAGCCACAGAAAAGGACACAGGCAGGGUGGCUGUCUGUCUCUGGAAGAAGCCAGGUAGGGCAUUUCUCUGAGACUAGAGGGUCGGCGGUAAGUAAGGAACAGGUUCAAGCCCAGUGCCUCAAGUUCCUUUGGGGAGGACGGACUGGGUGAUAGGACUAGCUGUCGGGUAUCCUGGGAAAGAGCCACAGUGCCCACGGGGCCUCGCCAAAGCAAACCAAGCUGUGCUGGCUCUGCCUUCCUGUGCUGGGGGGUGAAGAGGGGAGGGUGUCUGGCCCUGGGGAACGGGAGGAACCGAGUGGCGGAUUUAUGUUUCCACUUGAUUUCCUCGGUUGUUUUCCAAACGUAGCGGUAUCCUGAGGGGCGGGGUGGAGGCGGAGAAGCUACCGGAAGGCGCCGUAGCCCCACUGCUGCCUGCCCACCAUGUGACUUGGCUGACGACAGCACUGCGUGGAAGGGCCUAGAGGCUUCCGUCCUGGGCUGCUGGACAAGUGGGUGACGUUGAUCAAGGCACUGGGCUCACACGGGCCGCGCCCCGCGUGAUCUGUUGUCUCCAGGCAGGCUGCCCCACUUGGGUCGAUUCUUUGAUCCCGUGAGUUAAGAAUGACCAUGAUCGUGGCUGACUCCGGGUCUCAGGGUCAUCCUGGGGGCCAGGUACCUAAAUAGGCCUGGGGUGUACAUAGCUGCCUCUGUCUCUCUAGCUUCCUCUUCCCUCUCCAGCGGCUCCCUAAGCUCUUUCCUACCUCCUGAUUGUGGUGGGCCCACCAUUGUGAGUCUUGCUCCAUUCCAGCUGGGGUCUUUCUUGCCUUUUUGAGCUCUAUGCUCUGUCACUGCCUCAGCGGUGGCUUUGCCGUCUCCGACUUCCCGUUUUUCCUCAGGAUCUGCUCUGUUGAGGGGUAGUGGAUCAAUCCCAUUCUCCCCUGAGUGACAGAAACACACACACACACACACACACACACACACACACACACACACACACACACACACACACACACAGGGUUGGUUGGUAGGAGACAAGGCCUGGGGCAGGUAGUGGAGGCAGGGAACCGUUCAAAGAGGCUGGCCUCUCUCCCAGUCCUAUUUACAAUCUCCAUCCUUAUAGCAGCUGUGCAGCCUGGGACGUUGCUCUGAGCCUCAGUUUCUCCUUCUGAAAAAUGAAAAGAAUAAUAGUUCCUUCCCUUUGGGAUGGAAGCCUGCUUCCUGGACACCUGGAAGAGCUCUUGUCAGUGAAUCAGGGUAAAUCACAGAAAUCUCACUUCCCAGGGAAGCAGAGGCCGCAGGGCACUGGAGCUUUAACAAAAAACAAAAAACAAAAACAAAAAAAACACUGAUUUAUUUAUUUAUUUAUUUAUUUAUUUAUUGAGACACAGUCUCACUGACGUUUCUAAUUAAUUAAUUAAUUUUUUCCCUUGCAGUGCUUCCUAUAUGCCAGGUCAGGGCGUAACACAGGAGCCAGUCUCACCCCAGAAGGAUAUUAUUUUACUGAACAAUCUCUAAGGAAGGCGCCAUAUGGCCUCUAGUCCACCAAUGAGAGAAUAAAGACUUGCAAGGCCAGGGCUUACUCAAAGUUGUGUUUCCAUUAGGAUGUAGACAAGAGUCUUUUUACUGCCCGGUCCUCCCUCCUUGCCCCUGUGAGUCCUCACCCCCUCCCUAAUCUCUGCCCCUCUCCCCGCCCCCAGCCUUCCUGUCUGCUGCUUCUCCGUCUCUGACUCUCAAUGUGUCCUGCUCGGCCUGUGGCAGGAAUCUGUCCACCUGCUGGAUUGCUUUCUGAAUUGUGCACAUGAGCCCUUCCACUCUUUCUAUCCACAGCCUUCCUUGUCCUGGGCUCUUGUCUUGACACCACCCUAAGGCCUUGGAGAGGCCUUUCGUGUCUGUCUGCAGACAGACAAGGAUUCCAAGACUGGGGCCUGCCCCAGGGCCCCAAGGGUCCCCAGUACCUCCCCACCACCUAUGGCUUCAGGUCCUCUGACUCUUGGUGAGGGCCUUGCAUUUUGCUGCUAAUGCCUGGUUCUGCCACAGCAGUGCUAGCCCAGUAGAUCACUGAGUAAUGCUAUCUUUCCAACUGAGUGACCUCCCUCUGCCCUCUGAGAAAUGAAUUCACAUUCUCUCUCUCCCUUCCUCUCUCUCCCUCUCUUUCUCUGAGACAGAGUCUCAUUACUAUGAAGUCCUGGCUGUCCUGGAACUUACUACGCAGACCAGGCUGGUCUUGAACUCAGAUCCACCUGCUUCUGACUCCCCAGGGUUGGUAUUAAAGGUGUGUGCCACCACUGUCUAAGAUGAAUUUUCUUUUUAAAUGUGCCCACAAAUCCACUGAAUAUGAAGCCUCAGGAGGUCAGCAGCGCCAGCCUGAGAUAGAUUGGAGGCCCAGCAUUCAAACUCUGCUUUUGUGGGUCAUUUGUGCCACAGCAGAAUGGGACUUAGGGGGCGGGUAUCCUUAGAAACAGUCCAAAGGAGGGGCUUCAUGCGAUGUAGCCAAGGCAUCGUAGGUGAGACUUGCCUUCUAUUAGAGGUGUGUUCAAGGGUCCUGUUGACCACCACCAGUGAGCUCACCUUGCACACCUCUCUAGUAAGAACGAUUCCCACUCUUGGCACAUAAUAGAUAUUGCAGAAGCAUUAAGUGCAAGAAUUGGACGAUAGUCAGAGGGACAGCCACUAAGGAGGGGCCUUGCAGGGCAUCUCCAAAGGUAUAGCUUCUACGCUCGAGACCUCCUGUGAAGCCUUACCCAGUGACAGCCAGAGUCCUUGUUUCAAUGCAGCUCAGAACACACCAGCCCUUGCUCCAAACUUUGGUAGACCCUGACAUCUUCCCUUCCUUUGACUCCACAGCUGGGCUCCAGACCCUAAGUAUUUGACUUCCACUCCCUCAUCUCCCUGGCUCUCUCUGCUCCAGCCCCACUGGCGUUCUGCCUGUUCCUAAGCUCGGCAACACAUUCCCUCUUGAGGCCUUGGCAUGUGUUGAUCUCUGUCUGGAACAUUCUUCUAUGAAAUGUUCCUCUUUCUUUCCCUCAGAAUCUUAGUUCGGUGUCACACUGUUGUUGCGGGGGUGUCUCCUCACUCUUCGCCUUCUCCACUACCUUCUUCUUGACAGGGUCGGGCACUUACUCUGUAGUCCAGGCUGGCCUCAAACUUGAGAUCCUCCUACCUCAGCCUUGGAGUACUGAGAUCAUAGGCACAUGCUAUCACAUCUACGGAGAUCCUGUUUCUCCCACUAUCCUGCUUCACACACCACAGAGCUUAAGACACCGUGAUCUUAGCCCAUAGGUCCGUCUAUUGUCCCUGUCCCUCAUGUGAACAUUAGAUUUGUGAAGGCAAAGGCAGUGCCCUUGUCCACUGUAGCCCCUGGGCUGGAACAGUGUAGAGGACACAGCCAGUACUCCAUCAGUGUUUGAGGGAGGGAGGAGACUGAAGGAAAGAGUGGGAAUGGGGCAAGAAGGCAUAGAUAAGGGAGGAGGGGAGAGGAGAGAAAAGGACUUUUUAGUGUCCCUUGCUCUGUUAUCAGAUGUGGCUUCUAGAUGUCUGAGCACCAAGACUACUGCACAGAAGGUGGGUAGAAAGAGCUGCACUGUGGGUAAAGGAAUUCAGUUAGAUUUGAAGAACUUUCUAAAACAGUGCAAAGAUGGGAGGAACUUUGUCAGGGAGAAAUACGUUUCCUGUCAGCAAGAUGUCCGGAAGCCCAACAGCCUUGGAGCUCUGGGUGGGACCAGCUAUGGGGCCUGAACCCAGGAGAUGUAAGGAAUUGGGGGGUUCCCCAGAAGUUGGGGCAGGUGAGGCCCUGGAACUUGAAGGCCCUUAUGGCUCAUCCGGCCAGGCCUAGGCAGGUAGAAGCCCGUCUGUGGCUCAUCCCCAGGCCAGAACUGCUGGGAUUUGGCCAAGCGGCCAUGUUGAGAGUCUGGUCCUGACUCUACAAAGCUGGGCUGGGGCAACACAGGAAGUCCCACUGCUCUCUAGCUCCAUAGGCCCCUCCAGCUCUAGCCUCUCCUCACCUCCCACAGUGGCCUCAGGCCCCUGUGCCCGCGCCCAUGGGGUUAAAUCUCUCCCUGUCUCUCUCUGCUCCAAGUUGUUUUCCAAGCGAGGCAGAGAAUGGUUCUCUUGUUACCAACAUGGCUUCUGGGCAUUGGGUAAUGCGCUCCCUCUUCUCCCUGCCCCUGUCACAAAGGGACCUUUUGUUCCUCUCCCGGCCCCUCUCUCCGGCUCUUCUCUGCCCCCCACCCACCCCAAGUCCCUCCUCCCCACGCCUCCUGCCCUACUCUGUGUGCACCCCUGGGCUGUGAGGAGUGACCGUGGCCUGGCCGUGGUGCCCUCCCUCUCCCAAGGCGCCUUGGGAGGAGAAAGGGCCUUGGCGGACGCGGCGGCCAUUUUGAAAACUGUCCUUCUAGGCUGUCCGCGGCUCCUCUGAGGUUGCCAGGAUUGAGGAAGCCACUCCGGGAGAGCCUUGGGGUUGAUGUCCUGUGGCCUACUUUCUGUCUCCAGGCUGAAAUGGGACCUUCCUCUCCCAAGCUCCCAGCCCAGGCUGUGUCUCUACACUGAGACAAGACACCUUUCAGCUAGCCAUCUUAAAUCUACACGGCAGCUUCCUGAGGUGCUAGCUGCAUUCCUGGCCUGGAAGCGAUGAGCCCGUCCUACCCCUGUGUCACUCUGGAUGGUUUUGCAGAGGUGCCUCACCUGAUCCUGGGUAGAUGACAUCACCCUACAGUUAGCAAUCAAAACAACAAACCCAUGAAGGGCAGCUACAGCACGGGUGAAGUUUGAAAAUAUGCUCAAUGAGAGAAGGCAGCUACAAAAGGACACACAUUAUUCCAGUUCUGUGAAAUUCCACAGCAGGGUCUUACAGUGUAUCCCUGGCUGCCUUGGAGCUCACAAAGUACUUCUGCCUCAGCCUCCUGAGAACGGGGAUUACAAGGGUGUGUCAGCCUUGCUGGCUCUAAAAAAUAUGAUUUAAAAAAUCUUCCACUUAUAAUAACACAAUUAAAUAUAAUAAAAGAUUUACAAUGUUCAUUUUAAAA
Non-coding RNA from Rattus norvegicus (Norway rat), 10224 nucleotides. The record is from RefSeq and is a predicted model, not a curated record. NCBI's taxonomy places the organism in Eukaryota, Metazoa, Chordata, Mammalia, Rodentia, Muridae.